UCAUCCUACGGGGGGCAGCAGUGGGGGAUAUUGCACAAUGGGGGAAACCCUGAUGCAGCGACGCCGCGUGAGUGAAGAAGUAAUUCGUUACGUAAAGCUCUAUCAGCAGGGAAGAAAAUGACGGUACCUGAAGAAGAAGCCCCGGCUAACUACGUGCCAGCAGCCGCGGUAAUACGUAGGGGGCAAGCGUUAUCCGGAUUUACUGGGUGUAAAGGGGGCGCAGACGGCGAUGCAAGCCAGGAGUGAAAGCCCGGGGCCCAACCCCGGCACUGCUCUUGGAACUGCGUGGCUGGAGUGCAGGAGGG
Molecule: ribosomal RNA, 305 nt
Filed under: uncultured bacterium
Lineage: Bacteria
Description: bacterial SSU rRNA
Rfam family: Bacterial small subunit ribosomal RNA
Source: RNAcentral